UACGUAGGGUGCGAGCGUUGCCCGGAUUUAUUGGGCGUAAAGAGCGUGUAGGCGGCCAGGUAGGUCUGGUGUGAAAACUCGAGGCUUAACCUCGAGAUGUCAUCGGAAACCAUCUGGCUAGAGUCCGGAAGAGGAGAGUGGAAUUCCUGGUGUAGCGGUGAAAUGCGCAGAUAUCAGGAAGAACACCAAUGGCGAAAGCAGCUCUCUGGGACGGUACUGACGCUGAGACGCGAAAGCGUGGGGAGCGAACAGG
RNAcentral lists this ribosomal RNA (253 nucleotides) under uncultured bacterium. RNAcentral's name for it is "partial 16S ribosomal RNA". It matches the Rfam family "Bacterial small subunit ribosomal RNA", at positions 524 to 776 of the family's 1533-position model. The record is from RNAcentral.